UAGGGAAUCUUCCGCAAUGGGCGAAAGCCUGACGGAGCAACGCCGCGUGAGUGAUGAAGGUCUUCGGAUCGUAAAACUCUGUUAUUAGAGAAGAACAAAUGUGUAAGUAACUAUGCACGUCUUGACGGUACCUAAUCAGAAAGCCACGGCUAACUACGUGCCAGCAGCCGCGGUAAUACGUAGGUGGCAAGCGUUAUCCGGAAUUAUUGGGCGUAAAGCGCGCGUAGGCGGUUUUUUAAGUCUGAUGUGAAAGCCCACGGCUCAACCGUGGAGGGUCAUUGGAAACUGGAAAACUUGAGUGCAGAAGAGGAAAGUGGAAUUCCAUGUGUAGCGGUGAAAUGCGCAGAGAUAUGGAGGAACACCAGUGGCGAAGGCGACUUUCUGGUCUGUAACUGACGCUGAUGUGCGAAAGCGUGGGGAUCAAACAGGA
This 430-nucleotide ribosomal RNA is filed under the name Actinomycetes bacterium. RNAcentral's name for it is "Actinobacteria bacterium partial 16S ribosomal RNA". It matches the Rfam family "Bacterial small subunit ribosomal RNA", at positions 355 to 777 of the family's 1533-position model. The record is from RNAcentral. Lineage: Bacteria; Bacillati; Actinomycetota; Actinomycetes.